This is a long non-coding RNA of Triticum aestivum (bread wheat), 3586 nucleotides long. RefSeq lists it as uncharacterized. Lineage: Eukaryota; Viridiplantae; Streptophyta; Magnoliopsida; Poales; Poaceae. The record is from RefSeq and is a predicted model, not a curated record. The transcript is spliced from 4 exons.
CACGCCAGAAAACACACACGAGAACGGGCUCUCCUCUCCCUCGCCUCCCGAUCCCAACUGCCAGGCGCUCGAUCUGGUGCCGCGCCGGCCAUCCGGGCGCGGCAUCGAUGGAUCUGGCGGCGGGUGCGGCGUCUUGCUCCGGUGGCGACGGUGUCCUGCUGAUGCAAAGAGACCAGGGCGUGAGGGAGAGAGGAAGAAAGGAGGAGAAGGGGCACAAGGUGAGGGAGGCAGUCGCCGGCGGCGGCGGCUCCGAUGACCGGCCGGAGGGAAGGGAGAGGAACUCCUAUUGAGGCGGCGUGGCUUGGUGCACGCUGGUUUCUCCGGAUCGACCCCCUACUCAGAGCUGCACGCCCCUGAUGAUUGGAGGUGUGCCUUUCACAUGUUCGUUGAGUUGCAGCAACAAGGACAGAUGGCCAUCUUCACAGGUUAUGCCCCUUACUGUAAUUUGCAUUCAGUUAUGUGCAGUAAUAAUGCCAUAUUUGUUAGCCUGCUAGCUGUUUCCAGAUUUUUUUAGACACGAUUGACUGCUUCUACACAAAAGGAGUUUGUCGAAAAUAAGAGCAAUCCCAUUGUUGCUAUAGAGCCUGAAGAUUCUUUGCCUUUCUUUGAACUGUUUCGGUUUUUUCUUUCAUAUGGCUACAAUUAUUUGAUUGGUCCAUGUAGAUUUAGGCAACAUGAGAUGAGCCGAUGAUAUAUAUUGUAAUAUACGAUGUCUAUUGCUACAAGUGUUGAUGUCUUGGUGAUGGCAGGUUUUGCAAGUAAUUCAAAUGCUUUUUGAGUAGAGGAUAAUUAGAGAUAUAAUGUUCUACCUAAUCUUGAGGUAUGUGAAAGUGAACUCGGUGAUUUUGAGUAAUUCUAAGAGUAUACAUCUCAUCUAUCAGGUAUCCUUUUUUGAGUAAUGCUGAGAGGAUACAUCUCAUCUAUGAGGAAUUAAUCCAUCUUGUUUUCUCUGUGUUUACCUUGUUCUACAAAUGGCUAACUAGGUAAUGAUUAUUGAUAGCUAAUGACAUGAGGGAGAGGGGGACAAGCCCCUUUAGCUACUGCAAUGCGGUUGUGCAUACAAAUGUGCUACUCAUAUUCCACUGUUAGACGAGCUAGGCGCGAGAAGCAGGUUUAGAAGUCAGCUCCAUUUGAUUUACAUUUAGAUCAUCUUGCUACAACACCAUCACUUUUCUUGAUAGAAAACAACAAUUUUUAGUAAUCAUAUAUAGCUUUUCUUUGGUUUGUUUAUUCUAUUAUACCAUAGAUAUCAUGAGAAACUGUUAAUCGCUUAAGGAGGGUGUUCUGUUCACUCAAAAUCAACUGCCUAAUGGUCUGAUUAGUUUAUGUAUGUGAACAUUUAUUUUAAUAAUUAUAGUUGCAAUUUCCAGUCAAGGCAUAUGUUCUUUUAUACUUUUAUAGUGAGUCUACAAUAGGUUGAAUAGAUUCGAUUUCUAUUUCCUUUCCUCGUCAUCGCCCGCUUAGGUUAUAAGGGGAGCCAGAGAGGUGAGGGAGGUGACCAAAGCGGCAGCGGCCUUGGGGUGCCGAAGAAGAGUGCGUAGGAGGAUGGAAAGGGGCUCGUAUACGACGGCUAGAAGAGAACUAUGCUCUCCUAAACCUGAAUGGGCCAGAAGUGACAAGACAGACAGAUCUGGCAGUCAAUUAUUCUUCAGUUUCGGUUGUGAUGUUUCAACAUGAGUUCAGAGCGUUAAUGCUUUGCUGAUGCGAGGAGGUGAAGUUGUAUGCUACCAGAGUGCAGAUAUUUCUUGGUAUCUUUACUUUCAAGAAAAGAUGGAUGUGUGUUGUGACUGUGACAGAUGGUUCUACUGGAUAUGUUGUUGGGUUUAUAACAAGAAGCAUUGGUAAGGAUAUCAAAAUACAAGAGAAUGUUGCAACGACCAAGGUGCCAUAUAUAUAUAUCGAAGGUGCUCGCAAACUUCCUUCGACUGGAGGAUUCAGAAUAUGAAGUUACUGGAAACAUUGUUGGAAGUGUUGGUCCUGAGAGCACAGAAAAGGAUUCAUCGUUUCUUAUAAAAACAUUACAAUCAUUCAAAGAAGCUUUGAUUAAGGAGGAUCACACAAAUGUUGCUGAGAUUGAGGCCUUCUUACUUUGCAUUGAUGUCGAUGAUGAGAAGAACUCUCUUAUGAGGAAAAUCAUUGCUUUGAAUUAUUGAUAACCGUGAGAGAUCGUGUCUUGAGAGCAGGUGCAGAAUCUGAAUUCUACAGAUUGAGAGCAGGUGCAGAUUCUGAAUUCUGCACACAGAAGACAGAACAGAGAGCUGGUGGCAAAUGUGCAAGGGGAAGUUAUGGAGAGCCUUCUUUGCUAGCUGAAUAAGUCUAUCAGGAGUCAAGGCCUGUUUUGUUGGAGGCUUGAUGUAACUUGCCUGGCCUGAUAAGUAACUGUGCGCGCGGUCGUCCUGGGUGCUUGGCUUGAGCUAGCAUGCCGUGUUGUUAUCUUGGUUGAGGCAGCUGGAGUUAGCAAGGUGAUUAGUCAAGGGUGGCUGUCGAUGCCAUCUAAAAAAUAGGUGUUAAAACUUCAUAUUUUCUCAGGAAAAAUGCAUAUGAAUUAAUGAAUAUCAGGCUACAUUCAGGCGAUAUUGUUUGUCAGGCACAACGCUCAGGGUAGCAACCACAUAUUUAAGUGAGCUUUUGUUGAAAUGCGUUGGUACUUUAGUUUUUAGAUUCUAUGAUGAUGGUAUGCAUAAAUACAUGAGCUCUUUCAACUAGUACCACAUAGUAUUAAUGAGGUAACAGAAGCUUGCAAUUCCAUUAUCCUGCAUCUGCCCAAGUCUAGAAGGUCAGAUAAGUUGUUCCGCAAGAUAGACAACAAUUUUUUAUGAGUCAUCACAGUGGGCCGAGAACUUGUUGAUGAAGCCAAUGAUUGGGUUGAUCAUAGUGAUACGGCAUCAGACGUAAUGCUAGAUUUAACCCCAGACAAAUGGGCAAACAUGAAAAGAGGAAAGAUGUCAAUGCAUGAGCCAGAGGGUUCCAGUGGUGAAUAUUUUGGACCAGAAGUUAUGGAUGUUUCAUGCGAAGAAGCCAUUCUUUCCAAUGUUUACAUAUAAGAUAUACCAGUACAUCCCAAUUGGUAGGGCCCCUCCACUGAUAAGCUGGAUAUCCUUUUAACAAGUGGCUCGGAGAGAAUAAAGCGUUAGAUUUUAUCAUACUUUUACAGUUUAACAUGUCAAAGAAGGGAGAGGAGACACCAGCGGAUGGCAAGAUGGAUGAACUGUUGGACAGUGUUAGCCUUAAUUACCUAAUUCCUAAUGAAGUGGAAAACUUUAUGACCAGCAUAGAAAAUGUGCAACACUCUUCUUCUGAGCAUGAAGGGCAGAAUGAUGAUUUCGAAGCAAAUAUCAUUGAGCAAGAUGAUGAACACAUUGGAAAGAUUUUACUAAUCUUAUUGUUGCAUGCAAAGACAUUGGUGAUGUCAUAUCAGAAGACCCAUAGAAGGUUUAGGUUUCUGAGGGCAAGCAGAAAUAAGUGAUAGCUAUGCCGGUAUUCUAAAUAAUGGCAACACAUAUUAUGUAAACACAGUUCUGCAGUAUUUUCAUUGUUUAUCGGAGCUCAAAGAAAUCUUAAUAAUUUGUGAAGACGUAUGAGUGCU